GACAAAGCAGCCGCAGUAAAGAAUUAUGAAUGUGCACAAAAGACCUUGACAGACUGAAAAUAUUAUGUUCUACCCUUUGACAUAGGGUAGCAAAAAUCUUUCUAGUGAUGUCCGGAGGCUUCUCUCGUGUAUGUCUACCGGAGUAUGGGUCCUUUACCCCACAAAUCAUAGAUCGAGUUAGUCUACAUGCCCCUCACUUUCUGAUCCAUGUUCAGGCUUGAGCCCUGUGAGUCUUCGUACAUCGUCGUCACCAUCUGAAUCCUCCAUUUCGUCAUCUGCAGAAAACAGAAUCUGACCAGCACAGGAGGAAGAGGCCAAAGAGUAAGACUGUGUUCAACUUAUCUUAAAAAAAAAAAAAAAACUUAUACUAAAAAGUGGAAUACUUUGUACCUUUGCUACCUUGUAAACCUAAAUUUAAGUAAUGUUCUCCAUUACAUACUAAGCUAAUUAUCUCUUUAAAAGUGAGAAAGAUGUACUUCUGACAUGUCUACAAAUUCGUAUUUGACAUGGAUAAAGCAUGUGGAUGGAAAUGCCACACUCAAAUGACAUGCCUCGUCUCAAAUCUAACACUAUCACAGGAAAUACAUGUAUUCAAGAGAUGUUGUUGGGUCAAACAUCAUAAAUAAAAAAUAUUAGUAGCAUGUAAGGAAACCACAUACACUGUGUUCUAUUUGGCCUAAAACAAAAACUGUCUUCCACUGAAAAGUCCAUUAAUGGAUCUUUUGUUAAUCGGAACAUUCUGUGCAGCCUUUUCUUUAAGGCAUACCUGCUUUGUUAGAUUGUAAACUCACUGACUUGUCAUUGUUAUAAUCACUUCAGGUCUGGAGGGUUGGGAAUGAUUAAGGAGCUGUCUUGCACACAAUGGGCCGGUAUUUGUACAAUGGAAAAAGGAGAUGUAAAAGGGGGAUGUCCCAUCUAGCACUUGGGUAGAGGGAUGAUUUUGAAUUUAACAUUGUAGGUCAAAGGAAAGCCCAAAAUAUAAAUUCUGACAUUUAAAAGAUGUUUAAGGAGAAGCAAGAGUGUCUUGCCAAAACAAAUCUGUUUCAGAUCUCAAAUGUUAAUACAUUUGUUGAUUUGUUUUAAUAAGUGUUUUAUAAAUUCCAUAAAUAAUGUUAUUUAUGAAUUAAAUGUAUUAUUUAUGUCAUCAGUCAUUUUGUUUAAUGGAAAUACAUUGUAUUCUGUGGUUUAAACAUGUAAAUAAUUUAAUUUCCAAUAAAAAUGUUAACAUUA
Long non-coding RNA from Carassius auratus (goldfish), 1230 nucleotides. RefSeq lists it as uncharacterized. The record is from RefSeq and is a predicted model, not a curated record. NCBI's taxonomy places the organism in Eukaryota, Metazoa, Chordata, Actinopteri, Cypriniformes, Cyprinidae. The transcript has 2 exons.